This is a non-coding RNA of Callithrix jacchus (white-tufted-ear marmoset), 758 nucleotides long. NCBI's taxonomy places the organism in Eukaryota, Metazoa, Chordata, Mammalia, Primates, Cebidae. The record is from RefSeq and is a predicted model, not a curated record.
GUAGCUGGGUGUGAAGAACGACUGCGAGGAAACACACCCGCUCUCAUGGCAAUCCCAGUAAACUGAGAAAACGUGAUUAAACCUCAGGAUCUCCUACUAAUAGAGAAACAAAUGUAUAACGAUUUAGCCACCAGAUAUGAGUAUUAAAGGGUUGGCAGGGCACCAGAGAAUAGAGGAAGCAUUGUAGGUUCUAGAGCGGAGAAGGGAUCAUCCAAAAUGGAGUUUGAGAGAAUUCUGGCCUUUGUUUAGAGUCUGGAAUUGUCAAGAGUCUGAAAGCACAGAAUAAGAACGCAGCUGGAGCAGUUAAGGCUCCACCGUUUUGUCAAAACAGAUACUGGUAGUACCUCCCCGUUCUCCAUUGAGAACCACUGCCUCAAGCUUGUACAUCCAGCCCGUGAGUGGAAAAAAAGACAGCAUCUAACUGUGGAGGGUCAAAGAAAGCCAGAAUGAUGCUGCCUGCCUUCUCCACGAUUGUCUGGGCUCGGCACCUUAGCACCUGAGGCUGCUACCUGAGAAGUACGCACUGUUCUGGCUUCAUGGAGACCGUGCUCCAUUUCUGCUGUUGGAGUCUUUGAGAGACCAGGACCAGGAGCUGAGUGCAACCUCCUCCCCAUGCCAUCUGCAGAGCCUGAAGAGGAAAACACAAAUAGAAGUUGAGGCCAUCUCUUCUCCUGGGGCCUAAUCGCUAAGCUUAGCAGCACAAACUCAGGAGUUCUUGUUUCAUUAAAUAAUAAAUAUGCAUCCCUGAAUUCAAUGGA